GCCGCCGUGACCUCCGGAGGCGCCGGCCGCCUUAACCGUUUGCGCCCCGCGGGCCCUCGCGCACGCCCUGCGGACGCCGAAGCGCGCCGGCGGCCCUCGCGCGGGCCCUGCCUCGGGCCACACGGAGCCCCUUAUUGAUUUUCUUAAUUCACCAGUGUUUCAAGUAUUAAGUGCUUCCCAGAAUGCUCUUUUGAUUCUUGCCAGUUUUAUUUCGGGCGGGGUUGGGGGCUGGUGGUGCUAAAACAAGACGUUUGCUUCUCUCCGCCACUUUGCAAGCCAGCAAUACAGAACACAAAUGAUCAUUACAUCUGUGAGCAGAUGGGCCUAAUUCGGGGAGGAAUUGAUUUCCCGGGAGCUGCUGCGAUCCUUGGGGACGUGGACGCCCCCGGAGCGCGGCGCGCCGGUGUCACGCGUGCCCCGUGCCGAGAGACCGCUCCCGCGCGUGACCUCGGCGCCCGCCGGCCUGGCCCCCUCUGCAGGAUCAGAAACCUUGGAGCGACCCCACUUGAAACUGAUGGUGGCGUUUCCAGCACCGUGGGACGAAGGUCAGGAGAGCAGCAGACCCUGAACUGGGUCUUGCCGGUGACUGGGAAGGAAGGACUGAAAACAGCUCCGUCCCAACAGGCCACUUGGCCCCAUCUCACUUGGCCAGCAGGUGCUCAGUUGGCCAUGGGGCUGUGAGCCCCGGGGCCGGACCGGAAGAACUUGGACGUCCAGCUGUCCCCCAAGCUUCUCCAAACAUGGAAUGACACGGACACAUGCAUAUAACCAAAGGAGAGAGUCCCUUCUUACGGGAAGGACGGCGUAAAGGAGAUUGCCCUGCACGUGUGUCCCUUUACCUCCUCCACAGUCCCCAAGGGCUUUCCCUGCUUGCUUCCCCUCUGGCCUUCCGCAGUUUAAAACAGCAUUAGCAGAGCUUAGGAUAUGCCAAGCACCUGUUUAGUCCAGUUAAGGACAAAGGCUAGAAGCCAUAUAAAACUUUUUAAAAAUUGAGGCUUAACUACCUUUCUUUGCCUUCAUCCAGAGGACUUCAAUGGCAAUUAUGGAUUGCAUGGAUUUCCAGCUUUGAGCUAAGCAGUUACAUUUGCUUCCCAAAUGCAAACACACAGUCCUUGAAAGGGCAGCAUGGUCUCUGGACAUGAGGGCCACAUCCUCGGUGGUCAUAGUUACCACUUCCUGAGCUCACCGAUCUCUGCCAGAGCUCCCUCCUGGCAUCAUGUCACACAUCAUUACUACAGUCUUACGAAGUUUGUCUGCUUAUUCCCAUUGUCCCACACCCAAGCGGGGGAGAGAUGGGACGCAACACAUCACCAGUUUCUAGACAGCUUCCCUCCACGCUUUCCAGCAAACAGAGCAGAGCCAAGCAUCGUGAGAGCAGGAAGAACACUGGCCCCGUGUGGACCUCUGGCAGCGGCGUGAGCGGUUGUGAACAGUGGGGGUGAGCGGCAGCAAGCGAUGCUCCCAAAUUUCCCCCUUUUUGUAAGGACACCAGUCCCUGGACCAGAGGCCAUCUUAAUCCAGAAUGACCUCACCUUAACUUGAUGGCAUCUGCAAUGACCCUAUUUCCCAAUAAGGUCACAUCCGCAAGGACCGGGAGUUAGGACUUAGACAUAUCUUUCUGGGGGACACGAUUCAACCCGCAAUAGGGACUUGUGAGAAACCACCAGGACCUGCCUCAGAGACACCCCAGCAGAGGAAGGGGCGCCCACUGCCUCCCACAGGCCACGAGAACAGAUGUGGCAUCUCACGGUCUGUUGGUGGUGCUCAGGAUGGUGGUGCCCCCCUGACCCGUCUGUUGGGAACUUACCGUCAUCGGCCGUGUGUCUCAGCAACAUCUCACUUGGCGUUGCCGUAGCCGAUAGUCCCUCCGGUCCCACCAGCUGGGGUUCUGCACACGGGUGCCCUGGAACACAGCCCCCCCGGGCAGGUGUCCAGCAACAGGGGUCAGUGCUCCAGCAUCCUUCAAAGGAGACCAGCAAGGUCUGUGAGCGUCAUUAUGCACUCGGAAGCUUCCUAACUUCUCUGUUUCGUGUUUGUUGGGAGAUGUUUCCCUACGAGUCUCUCGCCUUUCUGAGGAGCUGGGCAGAGGUAAUGACAGCUUUUGUUCUGACCAUCCUUUCAAGAGUGUUUAGGAGCAAACAUCUGCAAACAUAGAGACAUCAUCCCCUCCUGGGCAGAGGGCGCAUUUGCUUGCUGACCUGCAGAUUGAAAAUAAGGUCUCCUGGGGGACAAAGUUCGGCCGGUUUACUUGCAGUCCCUUGAAAGGUUAGGGUUGCUAAGCUCGGGCUCCACGGUGAUGCUACAAACCGGCCGUGUAUGCAGCACCCCCCCCCGGGGGGCCCACCCUGCAUUGCUUUGGACGUGGGAGCAAAACUGGGGCCCAUGCUGCCUGCUUGGCCGUGAGUCACACGGUCCCUGGUGCCCAGCCUGGCAGCGGUCACCCUCCAGCUCUGACUCUAUUAGCUUCGAGCAGGCUAAGAUCCCAGAGCCACAGUGGUCCUUCAGAACGCCAGUGCUCACUUCCCAGGAUGAACCAGCAACAACUUUCUUCUUUCUGAACAUGGCUUUCAUGGGGUCCCCUGAGUUUUAUUAGGAAGAGCUCCUUCUUCAUUGCCUCCAAGGGGAUUUGUAAUCCCCCUUUUGAUUUCGUCUCCAAUCAAAUAUUUAUCUAGGAAUGUGUUUCUUAAUUACCAAGAAAUGAAGACUUUGUUGGCCAUUGAAUGUGAUUAGGCAAUUGAGCCUAGAAAUCUCUGCUUUCCGAAGCUGGCUGAAGACGUUGACUGACCCAUGAUCAUAUAUACGAAAGAAGGCCCAUACUCUGUUCAAGAGGUUAUAUAUUUAUUAUGUGCAGGUUUUGUGCUUUUUUUAAAAGAACUUUUUAUUCCAAAAUCAUUUUAGGACUACAGUGGGUUUUGAGACUAGUGUAGAGAGCUCCCAUGCACACUUCGGCCAGCUCCCUUCAGGGACAAUGCCCCGGAGCGCAUCUCUGUGCAGCACGACUGAGAUGUUGUUCACCGAACCGCAGACGCUACCACUCGGCUCUCGCAACACUUCCAUAUGCUUCUGUACCUUCCGUCGCACGUGUGUGCUGGGUCACCAGCACAGCCGGGCUGCAGACCGCUCUGUCCGGGCCACCCCUCUGCAGCCCCAGCCUGCCCGCCGAACCUCUGAAUCCCGUCCCACCUCUGCGUCAGUUACAUGUGUCCGGUUCUCCGAGACACAGAUGUUACAUAAAGCUUCCCUAAAAUUCAGAUCCUGGUAACAUGUUAUAUAUGACGUUCAAUGCACAGUUGAUCGUCAGACACAAAUCCCCACAUUGAAAAGUAGGAGUCCACGACACCAGUGUGCUCUACCCUCUUUCUGCCACCACCUGCCCCUGAGGGCGGCUUCUGGAACAUGCUAUGCUCUCCUCCUCGCCAGCCUGCAGGCCCACGCUUCCCGAUGCCCCUUUCCUCCCUGGAACUCCUAUACUUUGCAAUCAGUUAGUUUAGUUUUAACCCGUUAUUAGUAUUUUAUUUGUAGAAUAGACCUUUCCUGGGAGUUUUUAUUGAGCACUGAUAACUGCAUGUAUGUGGGCAUGCGUGUGCGUGUGCGUGUGUCUCUGUAUCCUGUUCACCACCAUUUCUGCUUCUCCGCAUCAUGCAUCCUCGGCUUGGCGUGUUCUCGGUGUCAAGGCUCAGGUGUGUAUGUCUGGUGGGGCCGUGUUUGUAGACACGCAUUUACCUCCCAAGCAGUGAAUGGUGCGUUGGCCGGAUA
Molecule: long non-coding RNA, 3756 nt
Organism: Ailuropoda melanoleuca (giant panda)
Lineage: Eukaryota; Metazoa; Chordata; Mammalia; Carnivora; Ursidae
Exons: 4
Source: RefSeq, a predicted model, not a curated record